AACGCAUCUUGCACUAUUCGGCUUCCCCGGAUAGUAUGCCUGGUUGAGUGUCUGUGUAUCUCUCCUAUAUCAAUCUUUUUUGGUUGAUCAAUAGGGACUUGGGGUUAUUCUCGUCGGUAUACUUUAAUCAGUAUCUCGGUGAACCCUUUAAAUGUAGCAAGCUCCCAUCUUUCAUCGGAAAUACGCAAACUUGGGGAUGGCGUCGUAGCAAUCACUCUCAUCAGUAUUGUCGAAGCGCCUAUAUCAUACCUCUAAUCUGCGGUGCUAAUCUGUUAUAAGUGGGCGAAGCUUGACGACUGGCAAAGUGCCAUGCUCCCUUUAUUUUGGAGUACACGAACAAUAAUGACCUCAACUCAGGUAGGACGACCCGCUGGACUUAA
Molecule: unclassified non-coding RNA, 380 nt
Filed under: uncultured Ramicandelaber
Lineage: Eukaryota; Fungi; Kickxellomycota; Kickxellomycetes; Kickxellales; Kickxellaceae
Description: sequence contains ITS2
Source: RNAcentral